RNAcentral lists this small RNA (127 nucleotides) under Marmota monax (woodchuck). Lineage: Eukaryota; Metazoa; Chordata; Mammalia; Rodentia; Sciuridae. The record is from RNAcentral.
GCUGGGCAUGGUGGCACAUGCCUGUAAUCCCAACAGCUCAGGAGGCUGAGGCAGGAGGAUUAUGAGUUCAAAGCCAGUCUCAGAAACUCACUGAGGCCCUAAGCAACUUGGUGAGACUCUGUCUCUA